CUCGGGCAGCUUCCAUGCAGUCGAACGGCAGCACGGACUUCGGUCUGGUGGCGAGUGGCGAACGGGUGAGUAAUGUAUCGGAACGUGCCUAGUAGCGGGGGAUAACUACGCGAAAGCGUAGCUAAUACCGCAUACGCCCUACGGGGGAAAGCAGGGGAUCGCAAGACCUUGCACUAUUAGAGCGGCCGAUAUCGGAUUAGCUAGUUGGUGGGGUAACGGCUCACCAAGGCGACGAUCCGUAGCUGGUUUGAGAGGACGACCAGCCACACUGGGACUGAGACACGGCCCAGACUCCUACGGGAGGCAGCAGUGGGGAAUUUUGGACAAUGGGGGAAACCCUGAUCCAGCCAUCCCGCGUGUGCGAUGAAGGCCUUCGGGUUGUAAAGCACUUUUGGCAGGAAAGAAACGUCAUGGGCUAAUACCCCGUGAAAUUGACGGUGCCUGC
Molecule: ribosomal RNA, 445 nt
Filed under: Achromobacter marplatensis
Lineage: Bacteria; Pseudomonadati; Pseudomonadota; Betaproteobacteria; Burkholderiales; Alcaligenaceae
Description: bacterial SSU rRNA
Rfam family: Bacterial small subunit ribosomal RNA
Source: RNAcentral